Gadus morhua (Atlantic cod) is the source of this 120-nucleotide ribosomal RNA. Lineage: Eukaryota; Metazoa; Chordata; Actinopteri; Gadiformes; Gadidae. The record is from Ensembl.
GCUUACGGCCAUACCACCUUAGGCACGCCCGAUCUCGUCUGAUCUCGGAAGCUAAGCAGGGUCGGGCCUGGUUAGUACUUGGAUGGGUGACCUGCCUGGGAAUACCAGGUGCUGUAAGCA